UAACAUUUUUUCUUGUUUUUUUCUUUAUUUAGUGCGAGUUAGUUGGCGAUCAUACUUAUUUCUUUGUUUUUUACAUUUAGAAGAUACAUAUAUGCAUACAUUCAAAAACUCACCAGACAUUCAACGCAAUUGACGCAAAUAAAUAAAUGCUUACCUGAAAAGAAAAUAAAAAAUGAUUCGAUUAAAAAUAUAAAAUUUUUAUAAAUAAUGAAUUACUCAUCCUUUAGUCCAGUCAAAUUAGACCAACAAAUGAUAGUUACAUAAAUGAGAAGUUACAUAAAUUCACAACAAGCUGAAAAUUGGUAAAAUCGUUUAAAAUAUAAUUAUAAAUAAAAUUUCAGAGUUCCGCAUUUUUCCCCUGCAUGGGAAAAAUUCUAAUCAAGGUCAAAGGUCAAAAAUAAGAUUUUUGCAAAACGGUAAGUUUAAUCAUAAAAAUAUCUCAGACCAAAAUUGUAGAUUAUAAAAUUAUCUAUUGCAUAAAAAAAUGUAUUCCUACAUUUUUUCCUACGAGCCACUAUUUCAAAAAUUUAGAAAAGUUGUAAUCGUUAUAAUAUGCAUGAGUACGGCUCGUAUAUACCUACAUCUCCAGAGUUGUAAUACAGUAGAACCUCGAUAAGUUAGAGUCCAAGGAAAACACAAAAUAUUUUAAGUUAUAGAGGUUUUAAGUUAUCAAGGGUCUAUGUUAGGUAUAAGUUUAUAUAGAAGUAGGUAUGUACAUAUGUAUGUAAAGGAUUGGUGUCGUCAAAAGGAUUGGUUCAAUAAAGUGAAUGUUGUUAGUUUUCUUUAUGCACUAAUUGUAAGCCAGUUUUAUCACACAGUAGGUAAGGCGAUGUUUCCAGGAUACUGAUCAAAAACUUAUGAUUAUGAUACAAGUAGGUUGUUGCCUUAAGGCUAACCACCACAAAACUUUAAAGAAUUUCGAAGAAGCAAACAAUAGGUGAUAUAUAUAUUGUUUACAUUACACUUAAAAUAUAAGAUAUACUUGUACAUAAGCUAUAAUUAUAAGAAUAACAGGUAGAAAGAAACCCAGUCCCUUAAGUUAUACGCCAUUGUGACCCUCAGCGAACAUCCGUCUCCUGUUCUUUAGUAUGCGGGCUAUGACAAAUGAAAUACCGUCAGUCUUGAAAACUACGCUCUAGUGAAAACACGUGUUUAUUCUAACCUAUACCGUGCUGUUUUGAGUUUUAUAAUAAAAAUAUCUGAAUAUUGUUUUAUUUGUGCUAAACUAUUAGGUGGAAGUGAAGUUACUACUGUUGAACGGGUAUGAAGACAUUAAUUAAUGCAAGUAUCGAAAAAGACGAUGAAUUUUUGCAAUAUCUUAAAAAUCGGAAAUCUGUGACAAUACAUGAAAGUCGCCGUAAAAAUUAUGCUAGGAAGUCUUCUAUUGCUGCCGCUAUUAAAAGACAGCGUGAAGAACAAGAAGCCAGUACAUCUACAGCAAGUCCACCUCGUACUAGAUCAUGUGUCCGUGAGCCAGGUUUUUGUUUUAAAAAGCUGAGCUUAUUUUGUGGCUAGAAAUUGAAUGAAGAAUGUGACAAAAAAAUCCUUAGGUUUUCGCCGUCGAAUCAGCCAAGUAAGCACAUUUGAAUUUAAAAAUUCAAUUCUGAAAGUAGCUAGGAUUCACAACGAUGCUGACACAAAAUCUGUUCUUGCUCGAGUCGAAUUUUAAAAUUAUUUAGUUGCAGUUGAAACCUAAGCAGCUGCAGCUAUCAUUCGCGAAGAUAUUCGAAGCACAGUGUUUGAUAAUUCUACCUACCAUCCACCAGGUCGUCUGUUUGAAGAUUUAAACAAUGAAACCCCAGAAACGUUGACAUAUUUUGUGGAACGAGUGAUUUUAAAAAAUAAACGAUUAAAUUUAGAUCAUUUUAAUCUAAUAUGCACAAAUAUUUGCCAUAGUUUUAUGUCUAGUGUGCGACCAAGGUCAUUUGAAUCAAAAUUACAAUUAGGCCUCGUAGUUUUUUUUCAUCGAAGAUUCAGAUCUAAACGUCUUAUAUUGUACAAAUAUUUUCAUCUUUUGGUUUUUGCGUCUUAUAAUGAUACAGUAGUGUACGAGGCAGCAGCAGUUUUUCAUCGUCCUCCUUAUGUCCUACCACCAGAAAGUGGUACACUUAUUCAAUAAGUUACGUAAAAUGCUGAUAUUAAUGUUAAUACGCUAGAUGGCAAUACCACAUAAUGGGUAUUAUUUAAAUUGUUACUCCAAAAUAUUCUGUUUUGCAAGAAGAACCUAUGCCACGAAUGAAAGAAGCUCUUUCAGCAAAAGAUUUCAAGGUAAAGGCUCAUGUGCCGAUACAGAUCUAUCAAAAUAAUGAUAUAAUAGUAAUACAGUAAGAUAAAUGUCAAAGAAUUUUUUUAUGUGACUGAAAAUUUAUGGGAUCAUUACGGACAGGUGGAAUAGGCCUACUGGAAGAAACCACGUUAAAAAAUCGUGCUAAGUACACUGCCUCAUAGGUAGCGUGGAAACUAAUUCAUAAUUCUAAUCCUCCUCUAAAAUAUUUCUGAAACCAUUAACAAAGAACAAAUGUCGUCAGCAGAAUCAUUAUUUCUAGAGUUAUUCACAUUAUGACGUGCCUGAUUUCCUUGAAUAAGUUUAUUUCGACUUCGGAGAAAAUUCGCCAAAGUGUUGAAAGCGUGAAAAUGUUGGCGUAUUGCACUAACCAAACAGAGAGAGCCACUUUUUAUGUUUCUGCGAAAAUUUUAGGUCUGCAAACCAAUCUGAUUGAUGGAUUAAUGAUUGAUGAAUCACCAACAAUAAAAGCAAACAUUUAAGUGGAUGUCUAUAUAUUAGGCUUUUGGAAUUCAAAAACUUCCAACACUCUUAAACAUAAAUAUGAAACUUGAAGUACAAAGCGCCAGCGUUUAUGGUGCCAAUGUUGCGCACUUUGUGGUGCCGUCGUUUGUGGGCGUUUAUCAAUUUAUUUUCAUAAGAAUAGAAUCAGUACAUUUCCAGUUAAAUUAAAAUACAUAGUCAGGAUGCCAAUUGUAUUUUCAAUGUCAAGUGCGAAUACUUUUUUCUUUCUUUCACUUUAUUUGAUUUGUUUGUUUGUUUGAAAAGUAAAAAUUUGCAGCAUUGAAAUUAUGAAGCGAUGGAAAUUUUUUCGCAACGAUGAAUAAUACAUUAUUGGAGAAAUACAGGCGUAUCAGCUUUAGGCAGUGAAUGUAUACUCUUUCCACCUAUCCACACAAGCAUUAUUUUAACCUUCUGUCAAAGAAUUCAGAUUUGUUUGCAAAAAAAUUGGGCAGAAUUCAAUUGAUAAGAGAACAUAAUUAGAGUUAUCACCAUUAAUAUAAUAAACAAUAAUAUAAAUUCUAAGUAUGUGAUUAAGUAUUUUUUCUAUAAUUUUUAAAUUCCCCAGCGAGCGGUAACUCUCAACCGAUUCUGCUAUAGCAGCCCUCGUGAGCAAUUCAGUAAUGGGAUGAGAGAGCAUUGGAUUGAAGAAAAUAAUAUUUAUAAUAUGCUUUAAUUAGAGUAAAAGUAACACCUUUAAGUGCUUUUGAUGCAACCCAUAUGUUGUCAAUUAAUAUUACUGCAGUUAUUUGACAAAAACCAACACUGUAGUAUUUUUAUUUAACUAGCACAGACUGACCGAAAAGUUAUAAAACAAACCUCCUUACUUUCUUUAAGUUCUCGAAAUACUUGUAAACUAUUAACCGUUCCAUUAAUAUCAGUCACAACCUUCGUGAAAUACAGCUUAAAAAUGUUUAAAAGAUGUGUUACACUGUAACUUAGAAUAAUACUGUUUUCUCGCAAGCGAGAAGCAAAAUAAUUGCUUGAUUCAGUAUUGUUUUAACAUGUGUCAAAGAUGGACAACAACCAAGAGAAAAUACGCCACAUUUUACCAUUUUUCUUCGAUAAAAGCGAAAACAUAAGCCAAGUGGCUCAAAAUGUGAAUAGGUUUAUCAUCCUAAUACUGUAGGCGUCAAUCAUGCACAAUUUUAGUUUUGUUGAUUCCGUUCCGACAAUGUUGAUGUCAAAAAUGCACCACGCUCUGGAAGACCAAUUGUCGCAAAUACCAAUAAAAUAAUGUAAACACCGCUUCAUUUGCCCAGAAGUGGCCAACUUUGGCCAAUAGGAGAAAAUUUGCGUUCUAUCAGGACAACGCCAGUCCACAUAGUAUAGGCAUUCCCCAGAUGCUUCGGGACCUUAGUUGGGACAAUCUUAUGCUAUAUAUCUCUUAUAGUUUGGACCAGGUAUCAAAUGAUUACUACCUGUUCAGUGUAUGGAGAAUAAUUUUGCUGGUGAGAAACUCGCCUUUUUUCUUUCCCAAUAGGGACGAGGAUUUCUAUGAGAGGGACAAUAUAAAUUUACCUUUAAAAUGUCAGCAAGUUAUAGAAGAAAACGGUGCAUAUUUCACCCAAAUCAGAUAAUUCUACCUACGCUAAAUAAAAAUUUAAUUCAAUGCAAAAAUAAUGAAUUUCUUUUUCCUAGGCCUAAUAUUAUAUUUCUUUAGUAGUGAAUGUUAAAUAUUGAAAAUAGAUUUUAUUAACAAAAUAUAUAGAUAUAUAAGUAAAUUUUUAAUUAUUAUAAUAAUGAUGUGAUGAAGUUCUGAUAGCUGAUCGUACGAUAUAGCCUAUUCUUUCAUCUUUUCGGUUCAACGUUUUCAACCAAAUAUAUAUUUUUAACACAGUGUGUUACUGUAUUAAAUUAAUUUAAUCAGUUUGUCCGAAAUAACUUUUUAAACCAUGUGACAACUCUCCUCAAAAAUAUAUCCCAGAGAAAUUAUGCUUAAGCUUGUUUCGUUUAAAACAAUAUUUAAUUCAUUUUAACAGAAUGGAUUAAACAGUUGAUAACCCUCUUAAAUAGCUUUCUAAAUAUGUAUGACCUGAAUCUCUGAAGAAGUAAACAACUUCGGAUCACUAUAGGAUAUAGCUUGCUAUACAAACUGAACGAUCGAAAUCAAGUGUUUGCAUGGAAAACUUGCUCAUUUGACGAGAUAUCUUUACGAAAUUCAGCAUGUUUUAUUCUCUAAGGCAAUAUGUCUAUAAUAUGGAAUUACUGUUACGUAAUUUUAUAAAGUUUUGCAAAAGUACUCUCCUAAACCUUUUCGGGAACACAACUAUUUCAUUGGCUUAAGACGUGGAGUAGGAGUCAUGAGAUCGUGUAAGAGCCAAACUGGAAAUUAUGUAUGUGGUAUUAGCGCUAGAAAGAUAAAGGGUUUCAACAUUCCUUUAAGACUGAGUUAACGCAUUUUGGAUGCUCGACUUAAAAAUUGGAAGGUAUGGAACUUUAAUACAUACAUACAUAUGUAUAUAUUGAAAGCAAUAAUAAGAUGUUUUAAAUUAAAUAUAAUGAUAAUGUUUUUUUAUCAAUAAUACAGAAGAAAUUCGACAAUGUAUCCGUAGAACUAAAUUAGUAAUAAAGUUAGAGCUUUUCGUGAUGAGACUAUUGUGUUGUACUUUAAAAAAUAAAUAACAGAUUUGAAAAUUGAUCAACAGCACAAACUCUGUCUCGUAAUGCUCACUUGACAGCCAGAAAUCAAUUCAGUGUGACAUUGAACCUUACUUAUUUAAUAACAACAAAUACAAAAACAUUAGCGUGGAACGAAAAAGAACGAAAGUGAUAUUGUUGGCAUUGUGGAUGCACCAUAAGAAAGGAUAUGUUGGAUACACACCCAAAAAGACACCGGUUGCCAGAUAUUGCGUUCGUUAAUCCGCUCAUUCAUUUAUACAACAGCCAACUAAAUUUAUUGGUCAUUUCUGGCUGGCACAGUAAUGAAAAAAAGUAUUUGGUAAAUUCCACACGCACAUCCGAACAACAACAAUGAUUAGGCUAACGAAGGAUAAAAAGGCAAUGCUUUGUUCGCAGCAGGCUUGUAGCAUUCGUAAAUGAAUAGUCGUUUUAUUUUUAUUCCAUACACAAAUGCACAUACAUACAUGCAUAUACAAAUAUAUACCGAAAAUCACCGAGAAUUCAGGGAUAUGACUGGCAACACAGAAAGAGAGAGUGAGCAGGCGAGAGUGGGCAGAUUCUAAAACUAAACUUGAUAGCACAAACAGGAUGCAUAUUAUAUAUAUUUAUAUGCUUGUUUAUAUAUGUAUGAAUGAAUAUGUAUAUGACAUCUAUGGUAUAUAAAAUAAAAUGCACUGCGGAUGUUCGGAAACCUUCUAUGUUAUGCUUUAAGCCAAAAGAGAGCGCCACCCCUUGCGAAUUGUAAAAUCUAGUAAAGCUGUUUCGCAAUGAGCAAACCAUUAUUGGCUAUCAAAAUGAAGUUCAUUGGAAUUCGUUUAUGUAAUUCGAAAGUUCUAUAAGUGUACUAAACUCUGGGUGUUAUGUAUGCUUUUUUAAUAAUAUUAAGAAUGAAUUGAAAUUUGGUGAAUAUUUUAAAAUUUUUAAUAAAGCUUUUGUCGUGCUUUUGCAUCGACCACGAGCUUUUCAAUUGCAAUAUUGAUAUCAUUCAAGAAUACGUUUGUACAUAUACAUACAUUUACACAUAUGUAUGGUAUAUGCAUGUACACGUAUAUACGUAUGUGUGCAAAAAUUUCUCUGCGCGUGUGUUUUUGUUUAUCUUUUGUGGAAAGUGUCGUAUAGAAUUCAAAUCGAUUGAGGUCAAGUUUAACAGUCACCGGCUGAUGCCAAAGAAGCGCUGCAUGUUGUAAAUUUUUUUUGCAAUAUUUAAAUGCAACUACUGUGUGUCACCAAUGACAAGUGAGGUUGGGUUUUUGACAGGUAAAUUUAUCGACUGAAAUGAUUAUGUUGAACGUAUAUAAGCCAGCCCAGCUCUGAAGUGAUAUGUUUUGUAGUAAACCGAACGCUUCAAACACAUAAUUUCACACCUUUUGAACAAUUGGUUUGUAAGAGAUACCAUUUUGAGUUAGUUAAAACUAUUUUUCAGUAAAAAAAUGCUAAUGAUACGAAAGUAGUUUGAGUUUUAUAUAGGCUCCACACGUUUGGAAUAUCAUAAAAAACAUAAAGGUAUUGAAAAAUCGAUGCUAAAUGACUUCCGCGCGAGUUCACAAUCGGCAGAUUCACCCGUCCCAGAAAACAAUGAAAACGAUAGCAUAUUUUUAUGAAUUGGGGGUCGGGUUUCUUUAACAUCCGUCAUAUUAUCCGGAUUUGGCUACCAACGACUGUUACCUGUUUUUAGAUCUCAACGGAAUAUCUCCUAGGGUUCGAAAAUUGAAGAUUGUAUGCACUUAGUCUUGCAAUAAGUUCUGUUUCAAGUUCCUCAAGUACCCCAAUUCUAACCACAAACUGUAGUUCUAUGGAGUCAAAUCUGAACUCCAGGCGGUCAAUCAUUUUCAGCUAUGAAACUAGGAAUGGUUUCCACUGUUGGUUUUUGCAUUGUGUGCUGGAGCAAAAUCUUGUUGGAAGAUCUAAUGCUCUAGAUCGAAAACAGUAUUGCUCUUUGAAAAAUAAUUAGACUAUACCUGUAUCUCAUAUGUCAUGCACAGAAGUAAUAAUUCAGCAGAAAAUAUAUAUCCUAUAGAUUAUAGUAUAACUAUAGCAUACACAAGAAAACUGGAAAAACUUACUUAUCUUGAUCAUUAGUGUUGGCGGUGAAGUAACUAUGUUCCGAAGAAGAAAGGUAGGAGAAGUACGAGGUGUGUUCAAAGGAAAAGGAUAAUUUUGAUUUUUCGCGGGCUAUGUACAUUCGAUUAUCGAUAUUUUGUUUUUGUUAUAAUCGGACACAUAUGUUUAUCAUGUGCUUGCAUUUGGAGCUAAUUUCGAUUAGUAGUUUGUUUUUGACAACAGAAAAGGUUAGUCACGUUUGUGUGUGCUCUUCGAUUUUUAACUUUUGAAAAAAUUGGAUCAAAGAAUAUUUAUUAAAUUUUGCGUUAAAUAUGGAAUAAAGUGCUUCAAGGCACUUGAAAUGUUGACUGUGGCAUUCGGUGCGUUAGCUUUGUCUCAAAAAAAUUGUUCUUGAAAAUCAUGGAAUCACUAUUAGGAAAGUUGCAGAGGAUGUUGGCAUAUACAUCGGCUCAUGCCAUUCCAUUUUCUCGAAUGUUUUGGGCAUGAAAUGUGUGGCAGCGAAGUUUGUUCUGAAAUUGCCAUCAUUGAUGAGAUCAAGUCAGAAUCGAAGAAAGAACUGAUGGCCAUACCAAAGAGCGCACUUCAGAAGUGCUUCGAAGAUUGGAAAAAGCGUUGGCACAAGUGUAUUUUAUCCGAGGGAUCUGACAAGGCCGUUAACACGUCAAAAAUAAAAUGUUCAUAUUUUAAACAAAACCGGUCGUCUGACUAAUUGAGUUUGCGGUUCUUACUAGUUGUAAAUUAGCUUAUAACUUGCUGGUUUUACUGUAGGGUUGCCAAUAAAUAAAAUAUUGAAAAACAUUUUAACGGCAUAUAAUAUUAUAAUAAUAAUAAUAAUAUUUAAAGAAAAUAAUACAAAAAUAUUGAAAGCCAACAAAAGAAAACAUUGUAUAAAUUAAUUGGUCACGUUAGAUCGCGAAAUAAAUAUACGCAAAUCUCGUUAAUCGUUAUGUUAGUCACGUGCUAUCAAGUGCAAUUCAGCGACAAAUGUUACGAAUUUCUUAUAAAUAUUUACAUAUCGCAUACAAACAUAUUAUAUCAUAUAUAAUAGUGCAUUUAUUUUGUGGGGAUGUGUACUAGAUAUCCAUAGAUUUAUUACAUAUGUAUAUAUAAGUACAUAUGUAUGUACAUACAAUAUAUGAACUUAGUAUGUGGUGUAAAUUGUUUGCAUUUUCGCAUGCGCAAAUUUUUAUUUUGAAACAAAAUAUAGCAAAAUAGAAUUGAAUUGCAAAUAAACGAAUGUCAAUGUCAAUGAGCUCAGGUUUUGGUCAUGGCCAUUGAAGUGGAGGCGUAGCAUCAGUAGAAAUUAAAGUAAGCAAAAAUUCAGAAAACAAAUUAGAAAUGCAUAUGUAUUUAUGAACAUAAAUGCUUAAAAUUUUAAAUAAAUAGUCGGAAUAGCACUGGGGAUUAUGUCAAUCUGAUGCCUCCAAACCUUAAACAAAUUUUAAAUAAUUUGCAUUAUGGGAAAUACUCUUCGACAAUUUUAUACUUUCAUAUGACAGUAAGCAAGGUCAAAGAUAAUCUGCAAUUUGUCCGCAAACACGCUUUUUCUUAAGAUACACCUUGUUAUUGUAGAGCACAUUAUUUUGGAAGUAUCCCGAUAGUACAAAUUACAUUGCGAAUGGAUCCGUACUUGAGACCUCGCAAGGUGACAAAGUAAUAUAGGCUCAUCUGGAUGAACUUUAUGAAAAGGGUCACUAAAAUUAUAUAAACUUAAAAAUACCAUUUAAAACAGCGACACGUCUUUCAUCUUUAUGAAAGUAUACAAAAUACUAUAAAGGACGAAUCAUGCCUCGAAGCUGAUCUGGUAAAAUCAGUAAAAUGUAGAAAAUUCUGAUGCUCCAAUUUUUGAUCGUUUGCAUAUAUUUUCUAAUCGACUGAAUCAAAGAAUCUUCAUUUCUAUGCCGUAUGUUAUAAUGAGCUAAGCCUUUUGUGGCCGAUGAUUAAGCGACUGUUGCCUCCAUAAUAUAACAUUAAAUGGAAUCGGACUUUGGUCUUCUAAAAAUUGUAUCCUCAAUGAAACGGUCUCGGAGACUGUGCAGGACUGGAGGGAAGGCAACACUUGACUUCAUGCCUAUCAUGUCGAUAUUUUUAUACUCUUACAACAUGUUGCUGCAGAGUAUAAUAGUUUUGUUUGAGAUUAUUUUAAAGCAAAAAGUGCACAAAUAAAUUACAGUCGAAGGCAAAUAUUAUGUACCUAAAGGGAAAACGCGAAAUUGAAAGUGAACAAGUAAACAGCAAAAAGAAAAAACGAAAGAGAUAAAAUGUGUUAUGUUAGAGAACAAACGACAUAAAAACGUGAAUGGAAUGGAUAACAAUCAAAUUUGGUAUCUUAUUAAGUUAUAUUGAAAAUCCUUUUAAAAUCAUCCUCAAAUGCGAAAUAUGUGAUAUAAACUUUAAAAUAAACCAAAGAGGUAAAAUUUAAUAUAUUGAGUUAUGUAGAAAACGUUACCCAGAGGAUCGAAAUUCUUUAUAUUAGGGAUAUGAGAUUUGGAUCAAUUCCAUUAAUUUUCAGUGGUAACCCACAUAAUUUUCAAAGAAUCUUGUACAUUUAAUUUCAAAAAUUAUCACACAUUUUGAGCAACCUAUGGUUGCUUGACGGUUUAAAGGUCAAGUGGAAAAUCGGAAAUUAUUACAUUGCUCAGGUAUACUUAAGAACAUAUUUUCAACCAAUUUUAUAAAUACAUACAUAUAUAACUUACAUACUGAACGACAUUUUCAUCGUAAGGCUUGUUAGAAAAACGAAAAUAGAAGUGGGGAUAAUUCGUUUGUAUGGUAUAAAGCCAGCCGGAUGUUUAAAAAUUGUUUUUAGGUAUAUUGGUUCCUCUUUGGGUUUCAUCGAAGAUAGUGAAAUAAUGUGAUGAUCUCUUUGCAAUGGGUUCCAGGACAUAGUUAUAUAUAUAUAGUAUAUGUUAACUGUGAAGCAGAUGAACUAGCCAGAGAUGGCACCGCCCUGCAAAUAGACUUCGAUAAAGAGGGAAUAUAUGUAUGUGUAUUCCUUUGGAUACUUGUGGAUAUUUAAUCGACAAAUAUGUUAUAGAAAUGCUUAGGUGGAGACAGUCCCUGACUUGCUCAACAAGAAGACAAACGUGGCAUGAAUGGAAUAUGGGCCGCACAUUUCGACUAUUAAAAUUCAAAAGGUAUAACAUAAGAACUCUUGUAGGAGUGCUAACAGGUCUCAUUGGCAGACCUGCCAGCAGAUUGACGACUUUUGUAGAAGCUGCGAAGAGGUAGAAGAGAAGAGACAUUUUCUUUGCGAAUGCAAAGCAUCGUAUAGGAAAAGAAUCGCAACUAUCGGUCGAGGGUUCCUGGCGAUGUCUCUAAAGUUGUAGAUAUCAAACUUUUUGUAUUGAUUAUAGGACAUAUGAGGGGAUUUUAAAGGCCUAUGUGCGUCGUUACAUAUCAACCUUACCUACUUACCGCCCUCUUCGCGCCGUUUUUCUUCAAAUCAGCGUCCGACCCAUAUUUCGACAUAGUAUAGCCUUGUGACCAGUUUGUGAUAGUCAAUGUGGAUCACAAUUUAUGCAUCUCAAAAAACGGUGCUCAUCACCUUUCCGACCAAUAAGACAGUCUUCGUCUUUUUCGCAGCUUGUUUGGCACUGCCUUGGCCGCUAUCGUACAUAUGUGCAACUACAUAGCACGCAUGCAGCUGAAUAGCAAGCAGAAGAAUGAGACUGGCAACGAAUGCAAUGCGCUCUUGUUGUUGUUGUAAAUUUAUAUAACAACAUCGCAUUUUAUAUUUUAUUGCUGAUUCCGAGAAAAACAACACUAUGCAUAGCAACAGCAACAACAAAAACAACGUCAAGUGAAAAAGUAAAGUUUGAACACUUAAAAAAAAAUAAUAAAAAAAAGCCACAACUAAAAGACAGGCGGAAGGCACAAACACGAAUGUACCUACAUAUAUCUGUACAUGGCGAAACACCCAAGAGCGUCGGUGCGCUCGCCACAGGAAACGCGAAAUGUGCCUGCUAAUCAAUGCAGUCGCCGCGCGCUCUUACCAGGCUGCAUCGGUGUGGCGCAAGUGAGUAAAUGUGAAAUUCUCAAAUUUGCGUUCGAAAACAGAGACAACAAUUGUGCGCGAGCGCUUCGUUUGAGCGACCGCCGAGGCAUAGGACAGAUGGGACGCCACAUAAUCAUAAACGCAACGCUAUCAAUGAAAGCAUACAUUUCCAUAUAUAUGUAUAAAUGUAUGUAUAUAUAGCACCGGUGUUGUGUCGCAUAAGAAUGCGUGACGCGACCACAAUGCAGCGACCUCGACACCGGAAAUCGUCAACAACAUCGUCGAUUGUUGCGAAUUUCCUGUCUCACUUGUGGCACAACUUGUGCUAAACACUGUAUGUGCGAAACAAGUUUAAACAUGCCAAUGCUCGGAAUGUGAAUUUUUAAUACUUACAGGCAUACUAACAUAGGAGUAUUUUAUUUGGUAGAGACGCAUGCAAAAGUACAAAAUAUGAAUAUGUGGAAGAAAUUAAAUAUACAUUUAUUAAACAAUUGGAGGGUAUCUUCAUUUGAUAAUUAACAAAAGCAUAAUUUAAUUAAAUUGCCUAGAAUAAUUGUGUAAAUAUUAUUCUAUUUCGACUUUUACAUUACAACAUUAAACAAAUUUCUUUUCUUUGAUCCUUUACACACCGAGUAAGAGCAGUCUUACUGCGUCUUACCCAAAUGCAGUGACCAAUAUUCGUAAAUCGGGCUACUAUAGUCUAUUGCAGAGUGUAACUUCAAAGCUACUAUAUCCUUUUUACACCUUAUCUACUUGUUAAACUUAUGGUUCACAUUUUGAAGCCAAUAUUAUAAACCUACAAACAGAUUAUAUUUGAUAAACAUAGCUGUCUUGGAUUCGCCAUUUCUUUGCCCGCUUUUGCUCUUUUGUUAGAAAAAUUACAUGUAAAAGCAACUAAAAAAGUUAUCGAGAUGAAUGCGUACAAAAGAGACAUUCCUUAUAGUAGUGGUACAGACGCUAUCUCAAAGCAACCAAGUUGUAUUUUGCAUAUUUUAGAUCAGUUUUACUGUUGUGAAUCGUUCAAAUGACAAAUAAAUAUACAAAUAUCUAUAUUUCUUGCAUUUUUAAAACUUAAGACUUAAAUCAACUAUAGUAAUUUAUAGAAAACCGAAACCGAAACUACAUUUUCCCUACAGGGUAUCUGUAUGUUGUUUCUAAAUUUUUCAAAUAAAAAUUGUAAAUUUUUCAACUCAAAACUUUAAUAACCGUAGUAAAUGUAUAUAUGAAUAUUUGAAACACUGAUUUUAAUACAACAUAUCAACGCUGACAAUUAUAAUUUAAUGUAACAACAUUCUAAGGUGUGUUAUUCCAAAUGAAACGCAAUUUUUCGACUCGUUAACCUAUUGAAAUGUACAAAAUCACGACUUGUUGUGCUACGAGGCUCCAAAUAUGGACGCAUUCAUUCAGUGUUGGCCCAUUAACAGUCAAACAAGCUGACAUUUUUCAACCAUAUCGGUUGAGCUCGUAGAAAAGUAACGCUUUACGAAAACACUCAUAUUACACGCUGGUACAAGUUAAAGAAUUUCUGCGUUUUAGUUCUGCGUCAGUUUUAGAUAAGCAUUCACUAGUCUUGAACUAGAAUCAAACUAAUCUGAAAAACAUUAGUUUCUAACUAAGAUUUUCAACUGAAAAUUAACUAGUCCAAAAGUACCCAGGCUUGUUCCGAUUAUAAAAUCAAUUUUUGUUAAGUAAUUUUUGCUGACUCUAAGUAUGUAUUUUAUUAAGAGGUGUGUGCUAUCGAAUUUCUCCUGGAGCGGUCUACACCUAGGCAACUGAUUCUCACGGAUUUGCGCGGGGGCAAGAUAUUUCUGAACUACAACUCUUACAAUAUCAUAAUAUCAUCAUAAACACAGACGACGGGAGAUCGUUGAUCAUACUUGAUAGGGUUGCAUAUCAACUUUCAUCUUAAUUUAUCGCCAUUAUAAUUUAUUUAGCAAUAUUAGGCAACUAGUUAACUGUCCUGGUAUACAAAUAAGGUAAAACAAUUAGUCGUUAAAUUAUGUACUCAAUUCAGAGUCCAUUUGAGGUCGGUAUUGCAUAUUUGAAUUGCAGUAAAUAUUUGGAAGGCUACUGCUAUAACUAUCUAUUCAAAAAUAAUUGUAUUCACGUUUUUCCAAGAUGCAUUGAAAUAUCGCGUGUUUUCUUCAAUCCAUCGUUUGCGGCCAAUAAAAGCUUGUACUUUCAUUAAUUCGUUAACUUCGGUUGCACCGAAGCUAUAAUACCCUUCACGAAUACAAAAGAUUCCUUACAAGCACUUGAUUGCGAACGUUCAGUUUGCAUGGCAGCAACUUAUAUUAUAUGAUAUAGUAAUCUGAGCUAAAUAAUUUUUUCGAAGAUUGCACCGUUGUUUCAGACAAUAACCCAUGCCAAAUUUCGUUAAGAUAUCUCCUCAAAUGAAAAAGUUGUGCAUACAAUCAAUUUGAUUUCGCUUGUCCAGUUUGUACGGCAGCUAUAUGCUAAAGCAGUCAGAUCGAUUUCUCUAAAACUGAGAGACUAAUUCGAGUAAAAACAGACAGAAAGACAUAAUUAAAUCGACUCAGCUCGUCACGCUGAUCUUUAACCACAUAUACAUAUGUAUGUAUGUAUAUACUUUAUAGGCUCUCCGACGUUUCUUUUUGGGUGUUACAAACAUCGUGGUAAACUUAAUCUGCUUUGUUCAGGAUAUAAAUAUAGGUAUGAGCAUAUUAUAUUUUCUUAUCAGAACACAAAUUUAGUUAGCACGUGUUUUGAGUCAUGCAAAAUCGUCUUAUUCAGCAUUAUUUUGCGCUUAAGUCCAACAUAACUGUAUACUCUGUUGAACAUACUGGUCAGAAAUACAAAAUAUACUUUUUCAACAAUAAGAAACACUCAUACAUUAAUAUGUACAUAUACAUUUGUAGGGCAUGAGUUUGAUAAAACCUCAGGUUUAUUAUCAAAUACAAAAUUAUAUAAAUAGGCAUGUACAUAUGUAUGAACACAAAAUAUACAAGUAAGGAAGGACGAAGUUCGGGUGUAACCGAACAUUUUGUUAAGUAAUAUAAUUUUAUGCCAUCCCUAUAUAGACUUUCCACGAAGGAAUUGUUUCAGAUUUCUGCAAAGGUAGUAGUUGCCGGAAGCCAAAUAUGGUUAAUACGGUGGAUGCUGAAGCAAUUCGUUCUUUAAUUCGUUGAAUUUUGUCAUUGUUAAAACACUUUUGUGAGCAGGUGCAUUGUCUUGAUGAAAAAGUAUUUUUUUUUUUUGCUGCAAACCAGCUCUUUUCUCACCAAUUUUUUCAUCCAGCUGAUCCAAAAAACUGCAAAAAUAUUUAAAGUUGAUUGUUUUACCUUUCGACACAAGAAAUUGGUUUUAUUCUGCUUAAGACGCUUCAAAUUAUGCUGAGAAAUUUGUUUUAGAUACAGUUUUUGUUGAAUUGUUAACGUGUUCGGCACUAGCUUUACAAACAACUUUUCCAUAUGUAAUUCUCCAUAUAAAUUAUUUAGUACUCGUUCAUCUGAGAUGCCUAUGGCAUUAGCAAUUUCACGUUUAGUCACUAACAAUAUUAUGAACUUGAUCAAUGAUUUUUGGGGUAGUUGCGGUUUUUGAUCGUCCUUCGCGUGGAUCGUCUUCAAUCCUAGUACGACCUCGUUUAAAUUAACCAGCCAAAAAUUUAAUACUCGGACACGUCAACUUCAAAUGGCUAAUAAGCUAAUAAUUAAUGACUUGUAACUUUGCAUCUGUUCUCACGACAGAUGUAUCAACUUAAGAAGAAA
This is a non-coding RNA of Bactrocera oleae (olive fruit fly), 15193 nucleotides long. Lineage: Eukaryota; Metazoa; Arthropoda; Insecta; Diptera; Tephritidae. The record is from RefSeq and is a predicted model, not a curated record.